This 393-nucleotide unclassified non-coding RNA is filed under the name plant metagenome. RNAcentral's name for it is "partial contains 5.8S ribosomal RNA, internal transcribed spacer 2, and large subunit ribosomal RNA". The record is from RNAcentral.
GCAUGACGAACGGGUGAAGGCGGCGCACGAGAAGUACGACGACGGCCGCCGCGCUAUUGACGUAGCGAACGAGGAACUGGCAACCCUCGUGCGUGAGUCGGCGAAGAUUAACGCCGAUGCGAAGAAGGUAGAGGCGCGGGGGCACAUCGGCGAGGCCACGCCCGAAGAGGUACAGGAAGCCCGAAAGGGAGCGAUGGAGGCCGAGGAGCGCGUCAUCCUCAAGGAGCGGGAAGUCGAAACGCGGACGAUGGCCCUCCGGCUCCUUGAGGACAAGAUCAAGCACGCGAAGGGGGUCGCCCUGGGGGAGAUCGCGGCGGAGCUCAACGCCGACUAUCCGAGCUGGGUGCAGCGGGUGAUCGAUGCGCUGGCGGAAUCCGAGGCAGCCAGGAUCGC